Molecule: ribosomal RNA, 505 nt
Filed under: uncultured bacterium
Lineage: Bacteria
Description: partial 16S ribosomal RNA
Rfam family: Bacterial small subunit ribosomal RNA
Source: RNAcentral
GACGAACGCUGGCGGCGUGCCUAAUACAUGCAAGUAGAACGCACAGUUUAUACCGUAGCUUGCUACACCAUAGACUGUGAGUUGCGAACGGGUGAGUAACGCGUAGGUAACCUGCCUGGUAGCGGGGGGUAACUAUUGGAAACGAUAGCUAAUACCGCAUAAUAUUGAUUAUUGCAUGGUAAUUGAUUGAAAGAUGCUAUUGCAUCACUACCAGAUGGACCUGCGUUGUAUUAGCUAGUAGGUGAGGUAACGGCUCACCUAGGCGACGAUACAUAGCCGACCUGAGAGGGUGAUCGGCCACACUGGGACUGAGACACGGCCCAGACUCCUACGGGAGGCAGCAGUAGGGAAUCUUCGGCAAUGGACGAAAGUCUGACCGAGCAACGCCGCGUGAGUGAAGAAGGUUUUCGGAUCGUAAAGCUCUGUUGUAAGAGAAGAACGGGUGUGAGAGUGGAAAGUUCACACUGUGACGGUAUCUUACCAGAAAGGGACGGCUAACUACGUG